This 511-nucleotide ribosomal RNA is filed under the name Gratidia sp. 1 SB-2021. RNAcentral's name for it is "partial large subunit ribosomal RNA". Lineage: Eukaryota; Metazoa; Arthropoda; Insecta; Phasmatodea; Diapheromeridae. The record is from RNAcentral.
GAAUCCUGAAUUCGAAAGGGGCCCUGGAUUCAACGUGAUCCUGCAUCAUAAUGGGGAUUCACGACCGGGCCAGAUGGUGCCGGCAGCCCGCUCGCGAUUCGCGUCGCCCGCGGUGUCUUCGCCGGCCGCCACUCGGCCGGUCUCGCCCCGAUCGGGACGCGUGCACUUCCACCCUAGUAGAAGCGUCGCGACCCGCUGGGUGCCGGCCUCAGGGCCCGGGAUGGCAGACCGCUCGGCGUCCUCGCGGGGGUUCCCGCGGGGCGCCCGGACUCCCGGUGACCCGGCCGGCUGCCCGGCGGUAGGACCAGAGGAGCCGAUCCGCUCGAGGGAAAACACUGUGGCUUUGUGGAGCGUCCGGGCCCGGCCCGGGCGCGCGGCGCGGGAGCAAAGGUGCGAACCGGGGGACCCCGUGCGAAGCACGGUCCCGGCCCCGCCGCGCGCUCGGCCGGUCUCGCCCUCGGACGGGAUCGAUACUCCCGUCCGCGACGACCUUCCUUCGGAUGGUCUCCCG